GGAAGAGCAAGGUUUCAGGGUGGGUUAAUUCGACUUCAGGAAACUUAACUACAACAGUUUCCAGGGAAGUUAAAUUUAAGAAUAAGAUACAGUUCUAUCUUAAUGGUACUGAAAAAAGGGUAAUACAGAAUGUGAGAGAAGAAACUAUAGUAAGUGUACUGUCUGAUACAGGUAUCAGGAUUUCUCGGACCACUACAAAGAAGACAUAUCCACUUAGCAUGACCACUAAGAAUUCACCUUCAUCAGAGAAUGAUACAAGCUUGAUGCUUACUGACCUAGACCAUGAAUGGAGGGGGAAGAAGUCCAUUGGGGAUUUAUCAAUCUCCUUGAUAAAUAGGCAGAAAUGCAAUGGUUGGAUGGUCGUUCAAGAUCAUGAUGUUCUAUCUGGUGGUGCCACCACUCAACAAGCUUAUUCUUAUAGGGC
This 424-nucleotide unclassified non-coding RNA is filed under the name Hevea brasiliensis (rubber tree). Lineage: Eukaryota; Viridiplantae; Streptophyta; Magnoliopsida; Malpighiales; Euphorbiaceae. The record is from RNAcentral.